Non-coding RNA from Rattus norvegicus (Norway rat), 69 nucleotides. The record is from Rfam. NCBI's taxonomy places the organism in Eukaryota, Metazoa, Chordata, Mammalia, Rodentia, Muridae.
GGGGAUUUAGCUCAGUGGUAGAGCGCUUGCCUAGGAGGUGCAAGGCCCUGGGUUCGGUCCCCAGCUCCG